CUGGCCCUGAAUCAAGGCCGGCAGCUUCCGGACACUGUUGGUUUCAUCAAGCAGGAGCCUAAAGAGUUGUCUUUCUAUGGUCUGUUGACCAUUUCGGAACUUACGCAGUGAAAUGGUCAAUUCAUUAGAAAGAAAAAGCU
Molecule: small nucleolar RNA, 140 nt
Organism: Cavia aperea (Brazilian guinea pig)
Lineage: Eukaryota; Metazoa; Chordata; Mammalia; Rodentia; Caviidae
Source: Ensembl